Molecule: ribosomal RNA, 519 nt
Filed under: uncultured eukaryote
Lineage: Eukaryota
Description: SSU rRNA
Rfam family: Eukaryotic small subunit ribosomal RNA
Source: RNAcentral
AGGGCACCACCAGGAGUGGAGCCUGCGGCUUAAUUUGACUCAACACGGGAAAACUCACCCGGCCCGGACACUGGAAGGAUUGACAGAUUGAGAGUUCUUUCUUGAUUCAGUGGGUGGUGGUGCAUGGCCGUUCUUAGUUGGUGGAGUGAUUUGUCUGGUUAAUUCCGAUAACGAACGAGACUCUAGCCUACUAAAUAGAUCGUCGGCUUACAAACGCCGGCGAGACUUCUUAGAGGGACAGGCGGUGAUUCAACCGCACGAAACAGAGCAAUAACAGGUCUGUGAUGCCCUUAGAUGUCCGGGGCCGCACGCGCGCUACACUGAAGUGAUCAGCGUGCUUUUUCAACCUACUCUGUCAAGAGUGGGGAACCCAAUGAACCUUCUUCGUGAUUGGGAUAGGGGAUUGUAAUUAUUCCCCUUGAACGAGGAAUCCCCAGUAAGCGCGAGUCAUAAGCUCGCGUUGAUUACGUCCCUGCCCUUUGUACACACCGCCCGUCGCUACUACCGAUUGAAUGUUUU